GAGAGUUAAACAGUACGUGAAAUUGUUGAAAGGGAAACGAUUGAAGCCAGUCGUACCUUCGGGUAAUCAGCCUUUCGGGUGCGAUUCUGUGGGGUGUGAAGAGUUAAACGCCUUCACGUUUUGCAUAUUCGUGCUCUUGGGUGUACUUGCCCGUGUGGUUGGUUAACAUCAAUUUUGGACGCCAUAAAAUGACUGGAGGAAUGUAGCUUCGAUCUCGUAUUGAAGUGUUAUAGCCUUCGGUAUAUGUGGUUUUCGAGAUUGAGGAUUGCAACGGAUACCCUUCGGGGCUACCUAUCUGAUCUCUGAUCGUUGCUCUGGUGCCGAAAGCUUGCUUACGGUUAUCAAAGUCGAUGGUCAAUAUGUUAGAAUGGGUUAAAUUCGUUAAGGAUGUUGAUGUAAUGGCUUUAAACGA
This 412-nucleotide ribosomal RNA is filed under the name uncultured Rhizophagus. Its description in RNAcentral is "partial 28S ribosomal RNA". The record is from RNAcentral. Lineage: Eukaryota; Fungi; Glomeromycota; Glomeromycetes; Glomerales; Glomeraceae.